AAACGACUCUCGGCAACGGAUAUCUCGGCUCAUGCAUCGAUGAAGAACGUAGCAAAAUGCGAUACUUGGUGUGAAUUGCAGAAUCCCGUGAACCAUCGAGUUUUUGAACGCAAGUUGCGCCCGAAGCCUUUUGGUCGAGGGCACGCCUGCCUGGGCGUCACGCAU
RNAcentral lists this ribosomal RNA (165 nucleotides) under Vernonia robinsonii. RNAcentral's name for it is "5.8S ribosomal RNA". It matches the Rfam family "5.8S ribosomal RNA". From Rfam's summary of the family: 5.8S ribosomal RNA (5.8S rRNA) is a component of the large subunit of the eukaryotic ribosome. The record is from RNAcentral. Lineage: Eukaryota; Viridiplantae; Streptophyta; Magnoliopsida; Asterales; Asteraceae.